RNAcentral lists this ribosomal RNA (1226 nucleotides) under metagenome. Its description in RNAcentral is "SSU rRNA". It matches the Rfam family "Eukaryotic small subunit ribosomal RNA", at positions 528 to 1777 of the family's 1831-position model. The record is from RNAcentral.
AAUCCUUUAACGAGGAUCUAUUGGAGGGCAAGUCUGGUGCCAGCAGCCGCGGUAAUUCCAGCUCCAAUAGCGUAUAUUAAAGUUGUUGCGGUUAAAAAGCUCGUAGUUGGAUCUCGGUUUCACUCAGGUGGUACACCUUGCGGUGUUCACUAUCUGGGUGGACGUUUCUGUUGGUUCGCUCUUGGUGCUCUUCAUCGGGUGCCAUUUGGUGGCCAGCACGUUUACUUUGAAAAAAUUGGAGUGCUCAAAGCAGGCGUUACAGCCUGAACAUUAGUGCAUUGAAUAAUGGAAUAGGAUCUCGAUUCUAUUUCGUUGGCUUUCGGAGUCGAGGUAAUGAUUAAUAGGGACAGACGGGGGCAUUCGUACUGCGACGUUAGAGGUGAAAUUCUUGGAUCGUCGCAAGACGAACUACUGCGAAAGCAUUUGCCAAGAAUGUUUUCAUUAAUCAAGAACGAAAGUUAGAGGUUCGAAGGCGAUCAGAUACCGCCCUAGUUCUAACCAUAAACGAUGCCAACCGGCGAUCCGUCGUCGUUAAUUGAAUGACUCGACGGGCAGCCUCCGGGAAACCAGAGUGUUUGGGUUCCGGGGGAAGUAUGGUUGCAAAGCUGAAACUUAAAGGAAUUGACGGAAGGGCACCACCAGGAGUGGAGCCUGCGGCUUAAUUUGACCCAACACGGGAAAUCUCACCAGGCCCGGACACCGGAAGGAUUGACAGAUUGAGAGCUCUUUCUUGAUUCGGUGGGUGGUGGUGCAUGGCCGUUCUUAGUUGGUGGAGCGAUUUGUCUGGUUAAUUCCGAUAACGAACGAGACUCUGGCCUACUAACUAGAAGGUCUAUCCUUUAUGGGUAGGCCUCUGCUUCUUAGAGGGACGGGCGGCGUUUAGCCGCACGAGAAUGAGCAAUAACAGGUCUGUGAUGCCCUUAGAUGUUCUGGGCUGCACGCGCGCUACACUGAAGGAAUCAGCAUGUUCUCCCCUCCCUGAAAAGGGCGGGUAACCCGUUGAAACUCCUUCGUGAUGGGGAUUGGAGAUUGUAAUUAUUCUCCAUGAACGAGGAAUUCCCAGUAGGCGCGAGUCAUCAGCUUGCGUCGAUUACGUCCCUGCCCUUUGUACACACCGCCCGUCGCUACUACCGAUCGAGUGAUUUAGUGAGGACUUCGGACUGGUCUUCAAGUUGGCUUCGGUCGGCUCGAAGUUCCGGAAAGAUGCCCAAACUUGAUCACUUAGA